Molecule: small nuclear RNA, 109 nt
Organism: Manis pentadactyla (Chinese pangolin)
Lineage: Eukaryota; Metazoa; Chordata; Mammalia; Pholidota; Manidae
Source: RefSeq, a predicted model, not a curated record
GACAAUUACUGAUUGAUUUUUCCCAUUUUAGAAUUGAAACAAAAUAGAGAAGAGAGCACAGACACUGUACAAGGAUGUCAUGCAAAUGCACAAAGUGUUCUAUAUUUUU